AAGUCGUAACAAGGUUUCCGUAGGUGAACCUGCGGAAGGAUCAUUAUAGAAGAUGCUUCUACACCGUGAACCGUAGCUUCGGCUAUACACACUCUAUGUUGUCUUGCAUGUGACCUAAUAAUAUAACUUUCAACAACGGAUCUCUUGGCUCCCA
Molecule: unclassified non-coding RNA, 154 nt
Filed under: fungal sp.
Lineage: Eukaryota; Fungi
Description: partial internal transcribed spacer region
Rfam family: Eukaryotic small subunit ribosomal RNA (bases 1-46)
Source: RNAcentral